This 45-nucleotide non-coding RNA is filed under the name Schistosoma bovis. RNAcentral also lists the same sequence under 1 other name. Lineage: Eukaryota; Metazoa; Platyhelminthes; Trematoda; Strigeidida; Schistosomatidae. The record is from RNAcentral.
AUCCAGGUGAUGAGUCGCAAAUUAGACGAACCUUGCGUCCUGGAU